GACGAACGCUGGCGGCGUGCCUAAUACAUGCAAGUUGAGCGCUGAAGGUUGGUACUUGUACCGACUGGAUGAGCAGCGAACGGGUGAGUAACGCGUGGGGAAUCUGCCUUUGAGCGGGGGACAACAUUUGGAAACGAAUGCUAAUACCGCAUAAAAACUUUAAACACAAGUUUUAAGUUUGAAAGAUGCAAUUGCAUCACUCAAAGAUGAUCCCGCGUUGUAUUAGCUAGUUGGUGAGGUAAAGGCUCACCAAGGCGAUGAUACAUAGCCGACCUGAGAGGGUGAUCGGCCAAAUUGGGACUGAGACACGGCCCAAACUCCUACGGAGGCAGCAGUAGGGAAUCUUCGGCAAUGGACGAAAGUCUGACCGAGCAACGCCGCGUGAGUGAAGAAGGGUUUCGGAUCGUAAAACUCUGUUGGUAGAGAAGAACGUUGGUGAGAGUGGAAAGCUCAUCAAGUGACGGUAACUACCCAGAAAGGGACGGCUAACUACGUG
Molecule: ribosomal RNA, 496 nt
Filed under: uncultured bacterium
Lineage: Bacteria
Description: partial 16S ribosomal RNA
Rfam family: Bacterial small subunit ribosomal RNA
Source: RNAcentral